RNAcentral lists this ribosomal RNA (460 nucleotides) under uncultured bacterium. RNAcentral describes it as "partial 16S ribosomal RNA". It matches the Rfam family "Bacterial small subunit ribosomal RNA", at positions 338 to 795 of the family's 1533-position model. The record is from RNAcentral.
CCUACGGGUGGCAGCAGUGAGGAAUAUUGGUCAAUGGGCGGAAGCCUGAACCAGCCAAGUCGCGUGAGGGAUUAAGGCCCUGCGGGUCGUAAACCUCUUUUGCCGGGGAGCAGUGGUCCGGACGCGUCCGGACCGGGAGAGUACCCGGCGAAAAAGCAUCGGCUAACUACGGGCCAGCAGCCGCGGUAAUACGGGGGAUGCGAGCGUUAUCCGGAUUUGUUGGGUUAAAAGGUUGUGUAGGUGGGCAUUUAAGCCGGCGGUCAAAUGUCGGGGCUCAACCCCGGCCUGCCGUCGGCACUGGGUGCCUUGAGUGGGCGAGAAGUAUGCGGAAGGCGUGGUGUAGCGGUGACAUGCAGAGAUAUCACGCAGAACCCCGAUUGCGAAGGCAGCAUACCGGCGCCCUACUGACGCUGAGGCACGAAAGUGCGGGUAUCGAACAGGAUUAGAUACCCUGGUAGUC